This 925-nucleotide ribosomal RNA is filed under the name uncultured archaeon. Its description in RNAcentral is "bacterial SSU rRNA". It matches the Rfam family "Archaeal small subunit ribosomal RNA", at positions 1 to 924 of the family's 1478-position model. The record is from RNAcentral.
UUCGCCCUUUUCCGGUUGAUCCUGCCGGACCUGACUGCUAUCGGAUUGAUACUAAGCCAUGCGAGUCAUUGUAGUAAUACAAGGCAGACGGCUCAGUAACGCGUAGUCAACCUACCCUAUGGACGGGGAUAACCUCGGGAAACUGAGAAUAAUACCCGAUAGAACAUUAUGCCUGGAAUGGUUUAUGUUUCAAAUAAUUUAUUGCCGUAGGAUGGGACUGCGGCCUAUCAGUUUGUUGGUGAGGUAAUGGCCCACCAAGACUAUUACAGGUACGGGCUCUGAGAGGAGUAGCCCGGAGAUGGGUACUGAGACACGGACCCAGGCCCUAUGGGGCGCAGCAGGCGAGAAAACUUUGCAAUGUGCGAAAGCACGACAAGGUUAAUCCGAGUGGUUUCUGCUAAAGGAACCUUUUGUCAGUCCUAGAAACACUGAUGAAUAAGGGGUGGGCAAGUUCUGGUGUCAGCCGCCGCGGUAAAACCAGCACCUCAAGUGGUCAGGAUGAUUAUUGGGCCUAAAGCAUCCGUAGCCUGCUUUGUAAGUUUUCGGUUAAAUCCAUACGCUCAACGUAUGGGCUGCCGGGAAUACUGCAAAGCUAGGGAGUGGGAGAGGUAGACGGUACUCGGUAGGAAGGGGUAAAAUCCUUUGAUCUAUUGAUGACCACCUGUGGCGAAGGCGGUCUACCAGAACACGUCCGACGGUGAGGGAUGAAAGCUGGGGGAGCAAACCGGAUUAGAUACCCGGGUAGUCCCAGCUGUAAACUAUGCAAACUCAGUGAUGCAUUGGCUUGAUGCCAAUGCAGUGCUGCAGGGGAGCCGUUAAGUUUGCCGCCUGGGAAGUACGUACGCAAGUAUGAAACUUAAAGGAAUUGGCGGGGGAGCACCAUAAGGGGUGAAGCCUGCGGUUCAAUUGGAUUCAACGCCGGAAA